RNAcentral lists this ribosomal RNA (719 nucleotides) under uncultured Bacteroidota bacterium. Its description in RNAcentral is "bacterial SSU rRNA". It matches the Rfam family "Bacterial small subunit ribosomal RNA", at positions 8 to 749 of the family's 1533-position model. Lineage: Bacteria; Pseudomonadati; Bacteroidota. The record is from RNAcentral.
AGGGUUUGAUCNUGGCUCAGGACGAACGCUUGCGGCGUGCCUAAGAAAUGCAAGUCGAACGGACACCUUCGGGUGUUAGUGGCGAACGGUCGCGUAACACGUAAGAAACCUGCCUCGGAGUGGGGGACAACGGCCCGAAAGGGCCGCUAAUACCGCAUGCACACAACAUUCGGCAUCGUCUGUUGUGUAAAGCCUUGUGCGCUUCGAGAUGGUCUUGCGGCCUAUCAGGUAGAUGGUGGGGUAACGGCCUACCAUGCCGACGACGGGUAGCUGGUCUGAGAGGACGAUCAGCCGGAUUGGGACUGAGAUACGGCCCAGACUCCUACGGGGGGCAGCAAUUAGGAAUCUUGCGCAAUGGGCGAAAGCCUGACGCAGCGACGCCGCGUGAGGGACGACGGCCUUCGGGUUGUAAACCUCUUUUGCCGGGGAAGAAGAACGUGACGGUACCCGGCGAAUAAGCCCCGGCUAACUACGUGCCAGCAGCCGCGGUAAUACGUAGGGGGCGAGCGUUGUCCGAAGUUACUGGGCGUAAAGCGCGCGUAGGCGGCUUCUUAAGUCCGGGGUGAAAGGUCCAGCGCUCAACGCGGACAGUGCCUCGGAUACUGGGGGGCUUGAAUGUGGCAGANGAUAGUGGAAUGGCUGGUGUAGCGGUGAAAUGCGUAGAUAUCAGUCGGAACACCCAUGGCGAAGGCAGCUAUCUGGGCUAACAUUGACGCUGA